RNAcentral lists this ribosomal RNA (576 nucleotides) under uncultured bacterium. Its description in RNAcentral is "bacterial SSU rRNA". It matches the Rfam family "Bacterial small subunit ribosomal RNA", at positions 102 to 674 of the family's 1533-position model. The record is from RNAcentral.
ACGGGUGAGUAAUACAUCGGAACGUAUCCUGGAGUGGGGGAUAGCCCGGCGAAAGCCGGAUUAAUACCGCAUACGCUCUGAGGAGGAAAGCGGGGGACCUUCGGGCCUCGCGCUCAAGGGGCGGCCGAUGGCGGAUUAGGUAGUUGGUGGGGUAAAGGCCUACCAAGCCGACGAUCCGUAGCUGGUCUGAGAGGACGACCAGCCACACUGGGACUGAGACACGGCCCAGACUCCUACGGGAGGCAGCAGUGGGGAAUUUUGGACAAUGGGGGCAACCCUGAUCCAGCAAUGCCGCGUGUGUGAAGAAGGCCUUCGGGUUGUAAAGCACUUUUGUCCGGAAAGAAAUCAUCGGGGCCAAUACCCCUGGUGGAUGACGGUACCGGAAGAAUAAGCACCGGCUAACUACGUGCCAGCAGCCGCGGUAAUACGUAGGGUGCGAGCGUUAAUCGGAAUUACUGGGCGUAAAGCGUGCGCAGGCGGUGCUGUAAGACCGAUGUGAAAUCCCCGGGCUUAACCUGGGGACUGCAUUGGUGACUGCAGCGCUGGAGUAUGGCAGAGGGGGGUGGAAUUCCACGU